GGGAGGGCCUUCCCUACCUCAGAGAAGACUGGCAGCCAGGACCCCAGCGGGUGAGCGACAUCACAUGGGGAUGACAGCCAGGACAGCUCUGGAGGAUGCGGUCCACCAUCUGCAGCAACAUGCUGUGAUCUCAUACAAAUACAGAAGAAGUGGCCAGGUCUCCCAUCCCUGGAAACCCUGGCCUCAAGCUACUGUGGGUUUUCUUUAACCAGUGUCUAAGCCUGAAUGUGUCCUGAGUGUAGGCGGAACGGCACUGUAGUGGGAAAGAGUACCCUGAGCACAGGCUCACUGGUGUGUCUACUUACCCAGCGCGAAGAGUGCAGCCCUGCCCGUGUACUUGGAGAUCUUCCCAUACAGCAGAGAGCACAGUGAGGAGGCACCUGAGAAGCAGAUCAUCACAUAGCCCACAAAAUGGAUGCCCAGGGCACAGGUGGCAAAAGACUAGGGAGAAGCAUAGAGCUGCAUUACUGGUGUGUAUAGGUCUCACUACGGCUUCAGUCUGCAGCUGCUGUGUGGAAGUUAACAUGCUGAUGUGGCCGAGGACCUGCCUCUCCCAGCCUAGGAGGGCAACACUGCGGCAGGAGGAUCAGGAGGCGCAGACGCUUGUCGUUUUUAAACAGCAUGAAGGUGGCCAGUAAAGUCGACCAGAGAGGUGGUGAUCUGGGCCCUGCUUCUCUCUCGUUCUCCAUUCUGUCUUCCACAGACUCGAGAAACACGAUCAGCAGCAGGAUAGCCAGGAUACUGCUGCCUGGAAGGACACACAGACAGGUGUCGGUGCUGCCGGGGUCAGACGUGGCCCACCCCUCAUCUCCACGGACCAUGUAUGUGUUAGGUCUACAGUUAACCCACCACAGUGGAUCCGCACGGCUGUCACCCAGAGAGGAAUAGCACGCUUUUUAAAGAAGAUUAAAAACAAAAGUCCCCCAAGACAAGACAACGAGAGGAAAGCAAAGCGGUGUGUCAGUUGAAGAGGCACGUAGAAACCUAUCCGUGCAUUAAACACCCUGAAGGCCCCGCAGACAUAGGCUGUCUGGGGACAGGCUUUGGAGAGGGGUGUGUUUUGAGGGACAAUUAACAGAGGGCACCAUGAGUCUUGGGACCUUUUACUGCAUUUGUACUUUGAACGGUGUCAAUGGGUUAUCUGUGUGUGUGGCGGGGGAAGAAUCCCAAACUGUUCAUUUGACCCUGAACAUUCUGCACAUCUAAAAACUGCAAAAUGCAA
Molecule: non-coding RNA, 1222 nt
Organism: Peromyscus maniculatus bairdii (prairie deer mouse)
Lineage: Eukaryota; Metazoa; Chordata; Mammalia; Rodentia; Cricetidae
Source: RefSeq, a predicted model, not a curated record